ACUAGUAAUCGCAGAUCAGAAUGCUGCGGUGAAUGCGUUCCCGGGUCUUGUACACACCGCCCGUCACACCACGGAAGUUGGGGGCGCCCGAAGCCACUUAGCUAACCCUUUGGGAAGCGAGUGUCGAAGGUGAAAUCAAUAACUGGGGUGAAGUCGUAACAAGGUAAC
Molecule: ribosomal RNA, 168 nt
Filed under: uncultured bacterium
Lineage: Bacteria
Description: partial 16S ribosomal RNA
Rfam family: Bacterial small subunit ribosomal RNA
Source: RNAcentral